UACGUAGGGCGCAAGCGUUGUCCGGAAUUAUUGGGCGUAAAGAGCUCGUAGGCGGCCAGUUGCGUCCGCUGUGAAAUCCCGGGGCUUAACCCCGGGCGUGCAGUGGAUACGGGCUGGCUAGAGGCAGGCAGGGGAGAACGGAAUUCCCGGUGUAGCGGUGAAAUGCGCAGAUAUCGGGAAGAACACCGGUGGCGAAGGCGGUUCUCUGGGCCUGUACUGACGCUGAGGAGCGAAAGCGUGGGGAGCAAACAGG
Molecule: ribosomal RNA, 253 nt
Filed under: uncultured bacterium
Lineage: Bacteria
Description: partial 16S ribosomal RNA
Rfam family: Bacterial small subunit ribosomal RNA
Source: RNAcentral